GCGGAAGUGGCGAAAUUGGCAGACGCACUGGAUUUAGGUUCCAGCGUUCGAAAGGACGUGUGGGUUCAAGUCCCACCUUCCGCACCA
Molecule: transfer RNA, 87 nt
Filed under: Rhodoluna sp.
Lineage: Bacteria; Bacillati; Actinomycetota; Actinomycetes; Micrococcales; Microbacteriaceae
Also listed under: 2 other names
Description: tRNA-Leu
Rfam family: tRNA
About the family: Transfer RNA (tRNA) molecules are approximately 80 nucleotides in length. Their secondary structure includes four short double-helical elements and three loops (D, anti-codon, and T loops).
Source: RNAcentral